CACAUCCAAGGAAGGCAGCAGGCGCGCAAAUUACCCACUCCCGGCACGGGGAGGUAGUGACGAAAAAUAACAAUACGGGACUCUUUUGAGACCCCGUAAUUGGAAUGAGUACACUCUAAAUCCUUUAACGAGGAUCUAUUGGAGGGCAAGUCUGGUGCCAGCAGCCGCGGUAAUUCCAGCUCCAAUAGCGUAUAUUAAAGUUGUUGCGGUUAAAAAGCUCGUAGUUGGAUCUCAGUUCCAGACGGGCGGUCCGCCUAACGGUGGUUACUGCCUGGCCUGAACAGCCAGCCGGUUUCCCUAGAUGAUCUUCACCGGUUGUCUUGGGUGACCGGCACGUUUACUUUGAAAAAAUUAGAGUGCUCAAAGCAGGCGUGUAGCCUGAAUAAUGGUGCAUGGAAUAAUGGAAUAGGACUUCGUUUCUAUUUUGUUGGUUUUCGGAACACGAGGUAAUGAUUAAGAGGGACAGACGGGGGCAUUCGUAUUGCGACGCU
This 491-nucleotide ribosomal RNA is filed under the name Macrothele bannaensis. RNAcentral describes it as "SSU rRNA". It matches the Rfam family "Eukaryotic small subunit ribosomal RNA", at positions 411 to 906 of the family's 1831-position model. The record is from RNAcentral. Lineage: Eukaryota; Metazoa; Arthropoda; Arachnida; Araneae; Macrothelidae.